This 200-nucleotide ribosomal RNA is filed under the name uncultured bacterium. RNAcentral describes it as "partial 16S ribosomal RNA". It matches the Rfam family "Bacterial small subunit ribosomal RNA", at positions 8 to 238 of the family's 1533-position model. The record is from RNAcentral.
AGAGUUUGAUCCUGGCUCAGAACGAACGCUGGCGGCAGGCUUAACACAUGCAAGUCGAGCGCGUAGCAAUACGAGCGGCAGACGGGUGAGUAACGCGUGGGAAUCUACCCAUCUCUACGGAACAACUCCGGGAAACUGGAGCUAAUACCGUAUACGUCCUUUUGGAGAAAGAUUUAUCGGAGAUGGAUGAGCCCGCGUUG